Molecule: long non-coding RNA, 1208 nt
Filed under: Amborella trichopoda
Lineage: Eukaryota; Viridiplantae; Streptophyta; Magnoliopsida; Amborellales; Amborellaceae
Description: long non-coding RNA (ATRI_LNC000779)
Source: RNAcentral
CUCUCUCUCUCUCUCUCUCUCUCUCUCUCUCUCUCUCUCUCUCUCUCUCUCUCUCUCUCUAAACAGCUCUCUGAAUCUGCUAUCUAAAGCAACAGACACUCUGAAACAACUUGGCAUGACAGUUUACCUCUCUCUUGAACAGAACAGUCUCACUUCUCUUUCAAAACAAUUUCCUCCCCCUCUCUCUUAAAAAGAAGUUACUUCUCUGUCUUCCCUCUCUCUAGAAACCAGUCAAUGUCUCUCUCUUCACAAACAUAAAUGCGCAGAUCCCCUUUUGAUGCAUAAUUCUGCAAAAAUCCCUCAAAUUUCGUUAAUGCCUUAGGAAGCUUCCCUCAUGGAGAGAAAGUUCCUAAAAGAAGACCGCAUUAAAAUCUAGGAAAAUAGCACCAAAAACCCAUUUUCUUUUUCAAAAACAUGAUUCAAAUUCUCGAAACUUCUAAAUUUUAUUUUUUUGGCUUAGCAAACCUUCUGCAUUAUCCCAAAUAUCACAGUAGAACAUCAUUAUAUCACAGUAGAACAUCAUUAUCAACCCACAAAAAAAAAAAAAGAUGAAAAAGCCUCUUGAAUUUCACCUCGAAAACAAUUCGAAAAAUGCAUCUUUUUCCCUACCAUUUCUAAUAAAAAAACCCAAAAAGAAAAAACCCAUUUUUCUGCCAUUUGCAAGGAAAAAGAAAAAUAAUAGAUCAAAUUCUCCCCCUAGAGACUAUGUUUUUACUCAUCCUAAAUACAGAUACCCUAGAAUUCAGAUAAGCAUGAAGCUCCAAAAAAAGAAAGAACCAAAAUCAAAGAAAAACUUGCCAUUUUUGCUGAUCUUCCACCGAACUAGCGCAAAUUCAAACCAGAUGCAGUGGCCCAAAAAACCCACCAAAAAAAUAUCCAAAUUUGUGAUCAAUGCGAAACUCUAAAUCCAAAGAUCCAGCUAUGAAAAUGCCAGAAAAAAAUAAAGGGCUCAGAUCACACAAUGUGGGUUCUCAAAAACAGGGCUGAAACCUUAAGAUCCAGUAAUAUACAUCAACUCUUUCAAACAACCGAAAGGUUCGCUCAUCUUCAUAUUUUUUAGAGAGAGAGAGGGAUCAUUCUUAAUAUAUUUUUUAGAGAGAGAGAGAGAAAGAGAAAGAGAGAAGGAACCAUUGAAAUUUUGUGAAAAAGGAAAGGAGCGAAAAACACAGCUGUUUUAGGAUGAGAGAGAGAGAAGAAGAGAGAGAAAG